AGUGAACGCUGGCGGUAGGCCUAACACAUGCAAGUCGAACGGCAGCACAGUAAGAGCUUGCUCUUACGGGUGGCGAGUGGCGGACGGGUGAGGAAUACAUCGGAAUCUACUUUUUCGUGGGGGAUAACGUAGGGAAACUUACGCUAAUACAGCAUACGACCUACGGGUGAAAGCAGGGGAUCUUCGGACCUUGCGCGAUUGAAUGAGCCGAUGUCGGAUUAGCUAGUUGGCGGGGUAAAGGCCCACCAAGGCGACGAUCCGUAGCUGGUCUGAGAGGAUGAUCAGCCACACUGGAACUGAGACACGGUCCAGACUCCUACGGGAGGCAGCAGUGGGGAAUAUUGGACAAUGGGCGCAAGCCUGAUCCAGCCAUACCGCGUGGGUGAAGAAGGCCUUCGGGUUGUAAAGCCCUUUUGUUGGGAAAGAAAAGCGGCAGGUUAAUACCCCGCUGUUCUGACGGUACCCAAAGAAUAAGCACCGGCUAACUUCGUG
Molecule: ribosomal RNA, 492 nt
Filed under: uncultured bacterium
Lineage: Bacteria
Description: partial 16S ribosomal RNA
Rfam family: Bacterial small subunit ribosomal RNA
Source: RNAcentral